UAGGGAAUCUUCCACAAUGGACGAAAGUCUGAUGGAGCAACGCCGCGUGAGCGAUGAAGGCCUUCGGGUCGUAAAGCUCUGUUGUUAGGGAAGAACAAGUAUCGGAGUAACUGCCGGUACCUUGACGGUACCUAACCAGAAAGCCACGGCUAACUACGUGCCAGCAGCCGCGGUAAUA
RNAcentral lists this ribosomal RNA (178 nucleotides) under uncultured Bacillus sp. RNAcentral describes it as "partial 16S ribosomal RNA". It matches the Rfam family "Bacterial small subunit ribosomal RNA", at positions 355 to 525 of the family's 1533-position model. The record is from RNAcentral. Lineage: Bacteria; Bacillati; Bacillota; Bacilli; Caryophanales; Bacillaceae.